Long non-coding RNA from Canis lupus familiaris (dog), 845 nucleotides. RefSeq lists it as uncharacterized. The transcript is spliced from 3 exons. NCBI's taxonomy places the organism in Eukaryota, Metazoa, Chordata, Mammalia, Carnivora, Canidae. The record is from RefSeq and is a predicted model, not a curated record.
GGCACAUCAGAGGAAAUGCAGCACAGAAAACUGUAACAAUGUUUUUUUAUAAAAAAAAUAAAUACAGAUCACUUACUUUGUUGAAGCUUUUUGUUACCACAUCAAAGCCUGUAGUUUUGAAAUAUAUGGGUUAAUGCUAAACCAUAGAUCAACAGCGUGAUCUUCAAAAUAAUUUCAAGUACCUCCAAUGUCAUUUCCCUUUCACCUCUUGGAGUUAGAAUAUUAUGUUAUGAUUUAAGCACAUCAUGGUUAAGAAAAUUGGCAACGGGGAUUUUUGUCAUUUUCUUUAGAAUUUAAAAGAUAAAAAGACUGAUAUUUGUAUUUAUGCAAGUGUCAGUGAUUACCAAGGGACAGUUUGGAGAACAAAGAAGAAGAAAGCAAGGAGGGAGAGGAAAACAUGAAACCAAAGCAGAAGGGUUUGGGAGGCAUGAGGACAGCCUGAAAGAGCACGUCAAAGCCAACAGAAGAGAGAAUCAGGUAUUCCUGGGAUUUUUCAAUUCUGUACCAUUGGUCAUAGGCCAAAGGCAGAACUAAAAGUAAUCAAGCCUCUUGUUUUCAUUCUGGGGCUUCAUUCUCUGGAUUGAACAGCUACAGGAAGCAAGGAAGUCUCAUCUGUCCAUUCAGCAGUUGCCGCUUUCCUAGACUGGCCAACCACUGUUUUUUUGGGACAACUGCAAUGACCUCUAAAUACACCUCCUGGCAUCUCUUGUUCUCCUCAAAUUUAUUUUUAUUUUCUUUAUUAUAGCCAGAACAGUAUUUUUUAGACCCAAAUGUGUCACUAGUUGCUUAAAACACCUCAAGGGUUUCCCACUUCCCAAAGAUAAAAGAUUAACUUCUUGGGACAA